CCUACGGGCGGCAGCAGUGAGGAAUUUUGGUCAAUGGGCGCGAGCCUGAACCAGCCAAGUCGCGUGAAGGAUGACUGCCCUACGGGUUGUAACCUUCUUUUAUGAAGGAAUAAAGUGAGGCACGUGUGCCUUUUUGUAUGUACUUUAUGAAUAAGGAUAGGCUAACUCCGUUCCAGCAGCCACGGUAAUACGGAGGAUCCGAGCGUUAGCCGGAUUUGUUGUGUUUAAAGGGAGCGUAGAUGGGUUGUUAAGUCAGUUGUGAAAGUUUGCGGCUCAACUGUAAAAGUGCAAUUGAUACUGGAAGCCUUGAGUACAGUUGAGGUAGGCGGAAUUCGUGGUGUAGCGGUGAAAUGCUUAGAUAUCACGAAGAACUCCGAUUGCGAAGGCAGCUUACUAAAAUGCCACUGACAUUGAUGCUCGAAAGUGUGGGUAUCAAACAGGAUUAGAUACCCUUGUAGUC
RNAcentral lists this ribosomal RNA (460 nucleotides) under uncultured bacterium. RNAcentral describes it as "partial 16S ribosomal RNA". It matches the Rfam family "Bacterial small subunit ribosomal RNA", at positions 338 to 795 of the family's 1533-position model. The record is from RNAcentral.